GACGAACGCUGGCGGCGUGCCUAAUACAUGCAAGUCGAGCGAAGUUUUUCUGGUGCUUGCACCGGAAAAACUUAGCGGCGAACGGGUGAGUAACACGUAAAGAACCUGCCUCAUAGACUGGGACAACUAUUGGAAACGAUAGCUAAUACCGGAUAAUAGCAUUAACUGCAUGGUUGAUGUUUAAAAGUUGGUUUUGCUAACACUAUGAGAUGGCUUUGCGGUGCAUUAGCUAGUUGGUGGGGUAGGCCUACCAAGGCGACGAUGCAUAGCCGACCUGAGAGGGUGAUCGGCCACACUGGGACUGAGACACGGCCCAGACUCCAACGGGAGGCAGCAGUAGGGAAUCUUCCGCAAUGGGCGAAAGCCUGACGGAGCAACGCCGCGUGAGUGAAGAAGGAUUUCGGUUCGUAAAGCUCUGUUGUUAGGGAAGAAUGAUUGUGUAGUAACUAUACACAGUAGAGACGGUACCUAACCAGAAAGCCACGGCUAACUACGUG
Molecule: ribosomal RNA, 497 nt
Filed under: uncultured bacterium
Lineage: Bacteria
Description: partial 16S ribosomal RNA
Rfam family: Bacterial small subunit ribosomal RNA
Source: RNAcentral